GCGAGUGAAGCGGCAAAAGCUCAAAUUUGAAAUCUAGCACUUUCAGUGUUCGAGUUGUAAUUUGAAGAAGGUAACUUUGGAAUUGGCUCUUGUCUAUGUUCCUUGGAACAGGACGUCACAGAGGGUGAGAAUCCCGUGCGAUGAGAUGUCCAAUUCUAUGUAAAGUGCUUUCGAAGAGUCGAGUUGUUUGGGAAUGCAGCUCUAAGUGGGUGGUAAAUUCCAUCUAAAGCUAAAUAUUGGCGAGAGACCGAUAGCGAACAAGUACAGUGAUGGAAAGAUGAAAAGAACUUUGAAAAGAGAGUGAAAAAGUACGUGAAAUUGUUGAAAGGGAAGGGCUUGAGAUCAGACUUGGUAUUUUGUGUUCCUUAUUCUUUUUGGAUUUGGUUCCUCACAGCUUACCGGGCCAGCAUCGGUUUGGAUGGUAGGAUAAUGACAUUGGAAUGUAGCUUUGCUUCGGUGAAGUGUUAUAGACUUUGUUGAUACUGCCUAUCUAGACCGAGGACUGCGUCUUUGACUAGGAUGCUGGCGUAAUGAUCUUAAGCCGCCCGUCUUGAAACACGGACCAAGGAG
RNAcentral lists this ribosomal RNA (570 nucleotides) under Dujonia oleophila. RNAcentral's name for it is "[Candida] oleophila partial large subunit ribosomal RNA". It matches the Rfam family "Eukaryotic large subunit ribosomal RNA", at positions 89 to 673 of the family's 3401-position model. The record is from RNAcentral. Lineage: Eukaryota; Fungi; Ascomycota; Pichiomycetes; Serinales; Debaryomycetaceae.